Dama dama (fallow deer) is the source of this 6480-nucleotide long non-coding RNA. RefSeq lists it as uncharacterized. The record is from RefSeq and is a predicted model, not a curated record. The transcript has 2 exons. Lineage: Eukaryota; Metazoa; Chordata; Mammalia; Artiodactyla; Cervidae.
UAUAAGUUAUCCUUUUGUGCCUUCAUUUUAAUUCUUGAUAUGGUACUGGCAGACAUUCCUAAAAGGCUCAAAAAUAUAAUUAACAGUGAUCUUCAGAAUAUGUGGAAGGGUACUCCCCAGGGCUUCCCAGGUGGUGCUACUGGUAAAGAACCUGCCUGCCAAUGCAGGAGAUAUAAUAGACUUGGGUUCAAUCCUAGGUUGGGAAGAUCCCCUGGAGGAGGGCAUGGCAUCCUACUCCAAUAUUCUUGCCUGGAGAAUCCCAUGGACAGAGGAGCCUGGCGGGCUACAGCCCAUAGGGUCACACAGAGUCGGACAUGACUGAAGUGACUUAGCACACCUGCACAGGGGUAUUCCCCAAGAAAUGAAAACGCAAAAGAAACUUUUGAAAAGUAGGGAAGCAACCCAAAUCAAAGGGUUUUACAGAGAGAAAAAGGAGCCCAGAUUUUUCAGUUCGAGGAACAAUAGAGAUAGUUCCCACAGCUUUACAUAGAGUAGGUAUUCAAUAAAUUUUUCUUGAAGAAAUGUUGAAAAGAUGAGUAAGGAAAGCUAAAAGCUUUUUUUUUUUUUUUAAUAUCAGUGUCAGACCCUCUCUCUAGUUCAAUGUGGGCUAAAGGGGGAUGAGAAGACCAAUUCUUCAGAACUCAUUUCUAGAAACUAUGCAAUCACAAGCUCAUCAUAUCCAUUGUGUUUCCUCAGAGGUGGAGGCUAAAUGGUGAGCCAAGGUUAGCAGGGAUGAUGUUAGGUAACCAAUACAACAGAUAUGAUUUCUCUGCUCAUGGGAGAAAGCUACUAAAUUUUGAAAUUUAGUCAGUUUCCAUAACCCAUCACAUUUUUUUUUGGAUAUUUACCCUAGAGUAGAAUUGCUAGGUCAUAUGGAAGUUUUUUUAAUAUUUUGAAGAACCAUGAAACAUUUUCCACAGCAGCUGCACCAUUUCACACUUCCACCAGCAAUGCAGCAGGAUUCAAAUUUUUCCAUAUCCUUGCAGACACAUUAUAUUCCUUUUUUCUCUCAAGAACAGCCUUCUGUGGAUGAGAAUAUCUCAUUACAGUUUGACUUUUUUAAAAUAUCUCAUUGCAUUUCCCUAAUGACUAAUGAUGAUGUUGAGCAUCUUUUCAUGUGCUAGUUGAUCAUUUGUAUAUCUUCUGUUUGAAGAAAUGUAUAUUCAUGUCAUGUCCUCUCCUCAUUCUUGAAUUAGGUUGGGUUUUUUGCUCUUGUUGAGAUGUAAAAGUUCUGUUUUUAACUGGAUAUUAACCCCUUAUCAGCUGUAGAUCUGCAAAUAUUUUCUCCCAUUCCAUGGUUGUCUUUUCACUUUCACGAUAGCAUCCUUUGAUAAACAAAAGAUUUAAAUUUUGAUAAACCCCAAUUUUUUCUAUUUUUUCUUUUGUUGUCUGUGCUUUUGAUGUCAUACUUGAGAAACCAUUCCCAAAUCCAAGACCAUGAAGAUUUUCUCCUUCUUUCUCUUGAGUUUUAUAGUUCUAGAUCUCAGACAAACAUACAUUCUCGUUGCAGUCUCUGAUAUUUCUUUCCAAAUAAAAUCUGAAAAACAUAUUUCAUGAUUCUAAUCCUUAUAACCUUUCUCAAAUUGCUUAAUCUGUCUCAGUUUAAUUAUCCCUCAAGGGAUAAUUUCACAAGGUUAUCUUAAAAGUUAUAAGUUUAAACAUUGCUAGUGUAGUGCCUAGCACACUGGUGCUCAAUAAACCUUCAUUUCCUUUCUUUUUUCCUUCAAAGUGCUUUCUUUACAGGACCUGCCAGAGUCCGUUAUUCUACCUGAUUUCACCGUUUUCUUCCUGAGGGUCAAGUCUAGGGUCUCAAAUCUCCUUUCUUUGUUUCAGAGGACUCCCUGGUCCUCCCCCACUCCCCUAACCUUGUUCUCUUAGUGUUAAUGCCUCCACACUAAGAUCCAGCUUGGAGCCAACUGACCUACCACAGAGCAUACUCAUUCUAAUGGGGUACGGGGGAGGAAUGCACAAAAGUGCAGCCCCACAGGGCCCCUGCCUCUCGACCAUGUUGAAAGGACACAACCUAGGGCACAUUAAACCCUGAAGGAGGUCAAGGCCAGAGAUCCUUGGGCAUAAGGAAAGAUACUCCUGAAUCCCUCCCUCCACUUAGAUUCCUUCCAGGCAGUUCUGGGGCAGAACUCAGGUCCUCCCGUAUACCAGUCCUCUGUGGGGUCCAUCCCCACGGUGCAGCCUCCUGAGGCUCCCUUCUAUUCCCGAAUGGUCUUCCACUGAAACAACACCAGAGACCAACCCUGCCCUCUCAUAGGACUCGAGCUGGCGUCCUCCACACAGGGCCUCCCCGUGGCAGCAAAUGCAGAGAGCGCCCUGGAGUCUCCAUUCACACGGGGUCUUCCAUGGGGGCAGCUCCGCUUCUGGCACGCUCCCAGAGGGUAGAAGCAGGGACACUCCAGGUUCAUCCACUCACAAAGGGACCGCUCCAGGGCGGCCGCAAUACCACACUUCAGAGUCUGCAGAGGGUUGUCCGCUGGCCGCAGACCAGUCCCUCAUGGUGGUUGCCUGUUCCCCGCCGCCCCCGCCCCCGCUUACCGGGACGGUCAGGCUGCGGGACGCUGGCCCGGGCUGGCGGUCUCCCGCCUGCCGGUGCUGGCCGAGUGCCGCCAGCAGGCGGAACAGGCAGAGAAGAACGCUGAGGCGGAGCAGCAGACAGAGGGGUCCUCAGGGCGCCCGCGCGCCCCGGCCACACCAAGCUCUGGCCGCGCGCCUAUGACGCGUACGCACGCGCGCAACGGCCUCCGCGGGCAGGGAGGUGCACGCCCCGCCCUGCCUCCUGAGGGUCGACGCUGGGCCCUCGGGCGGCAGCUAGCCACCGCACAGGAGAAUGAGUCGCCGAGGGUCCGCUGGAGGGCGGUGGCGCGGCCCCGGCUUGGUGGCCCGCUCCUUUGAGCUGUGGGUUCGGGUGCCUGUGGGCGCUCCCCGUCAACGCCUCAGCAAGAAUAAUGAAAGUAAGAGCAAAAAUAAACAAUUAGGACCCGAGUACAUCAUGAGAAACACUGGGCUGGAUGAAGCACAAGCUGGAAUCAAGAUUGCCGGGAGAAAUAUCAAUAACCUCAGAUAUACAGAUGAUACUACCCUUAUGGUAGAAGGUGAAGAGCCUCUUGAUGAACGUGAAAGAGGAGAGUGAAAAAGUUGGCUUAAAGCUCAACAUUCAGAAAACUAAGAUCAUGGCAUCUGGUCCCAUCACUUCAUGGCAAAUAGAUGGGGAAACAGUGGAAACAGUGUCAGACUUUAUUUUGGGGGGCUCCAAAAUCACUGCAGAUGGUGAUUGCAGCCAUGAAAUUAAAAGACGCUUGCUCCUUGGAAGGAAAGUUACGACCAACCUAGAUAGCAUGUUAGAAAGCAGAGACAUUACUUUGCCAACAAAGGUUUGUGUAGUCAAGGCUGUGGUUUUUCCAGUAGUCAUGUAUGGGUGUGAGAGUUGGACUAUAAAGAAAGCUGAGCACAGAAGAAUUGAUGCUUUUGAACUGUGGUGUUGGAGAAGACUCUUGAGAGUCCCUUGGACUGCAAGGAAAUCCAACCCGUCCAUCCUAAAGGAGAUCAGUCCUGGGUGUUCAUUGGAGGGACUAAUGUUGAAGCUGAAACUCCAAUACUUUGGCCACCUGAUGCAAAGAGCUGACUCAUUUGAAAAGACCCUGAUGCUGGGAAAGAUUAAGGGCAGGAGGAGAAGGGGACGACAGAGGAUGAGAUGUUUGGAUGUCAUCACCGACACAAUGGACAUGGGUUUGGGUGGACUCCGGGAGUUAGUGAUAGACAGGGAGGCCUGGUGUGCUGUGGUUCAUGGGGUCGCAAAGAGUCGGACACGACUGAGCAACUGAACUGAACUAAACUUAAAGGAUUUUUCACAACAAAGGAAACCAGAAACAAGGCAAAAAUAAAGCUCUCAGAAUGGGAGAACAUAUUUGGAAUAGUUAUUGAUUGGCAACCUGAACAUACUCCAGGUUCCCCAGGGGCCACUUUUGUAACCUGGUUUAUAUUUGAAAAAUAGAUUAUGUUUUCAGAUGGCUCACUGCUAAGGCAUGGGAUAUGCAUGUCCCCUGAGAUGCAGUGUGAAGCAUACUGAGAGAAUGUGAUGGGUGAAUGAGAAAACAAAGGUUUAUUCAUGUUGAAUCAGAGAUCUAUUAGAAUUCUUAUGGCAGGAAGUCUGCAGAUAAGUCAUUUGAGGAGGAUUUUUGGUUGAAGUCAGUAAAGAUCAAAGUGAAACAGAAAAGCUAUCUCACUCUCAGGACUAUAAGUUUAUUUUUUGAGGCAAGGUUUGAAAUUUUAUGCUAGGCAGCCAGAUCAAACACAGUAGCUAAGGAAUCAGCUUUCUUACCAUCUAAGAUACCGUGAUUGCAGCCAUGAAAUUAAAAGAUGCUUACUCCUUGGAAGGAAAGUUAUGACCAACCUAGAUAGCAUAUUAAAAAGCAGAGACAUUACUUGAGUAAACUCUGGGAGUUGGUGAUGGACAGGGAGGCCUGGCGUGCUGCGAUUCAUGGGGUCGCAAAGAGUCGGACACGACUGAGCGACUGAACUGAACUGAACUGAAGAUACUGUUACACGGUCCAUUCACAUUUAAUGUUGUUAUUGAUGUGGUUAGAUUUAUGUCUGCCAUUUUGAGUUUGUUUUCUCUAUGUUUCAUAUCUUUUUUGCUCUUUUCCUCCUUACUGCCUUCUUUUGCAUUAAGUGAAUAUAUUCUGAAAUUGUUUACCUUAGAUUGGGACUUGAACGCACGUGGACGGGAAUGAAACCCAGCCAAAACCCUGCCUGGGACUCUAAUCCACAUGGCUGGACGCAAACCCAGCUAAAACCCAUAGUACCUGGUUUCAGGACCUAAUGAAGCUCAGGUUCUUGUCUUGAAAAACAGACAAGAAGAUGCCUUGAUGUCUCACUGCAGAAAGAAUUCAGUGAGAGACAAAGUGAUAGGUAAGAAGUGGAUUUAUUUAGAGAGAAACACAUUCCACAGACAGAGUGUAGGCCAUUACAGAAGGUGAGUGUGGUGGCGAAAAGUGGCAUGGUUAGUUUUUAUGAGCUGGGUAAUUUCAUAUGCUAUUUUGGGGAAAGGAUGGAGAUUUCCAGGAAUUGGGCCACUGCCCACUGCUUGGUCUUUUGACAGUGCCUUGGAACUGUUGUGGAGCCUCUGAGUGUGUCCUUUAGCUUGCUGAUUGAGGAUCAAGCUCUAGUUGAAGUCAACUUGUCUUCCGUCUUGGACCCAUUUGAUUCUAAUAAGUUUAUGUUGUAUCUAUGUCAUACUUUCAAAAGUUGUGUGCUGUCCAUUUCCCUCCUGUUACAAUUCUAGUGUGAAAUUUAAUGAUUUCUUUUGAUGAUCAUACUAAGUAAUAAGGUUUUGCGUGCAUGUAUGCUAAAUUGCUUCAGUCCUGUCCGAAUUUUUGCGACUCUAUGAACUGUAGCCCGGCAGGCUCCUCUGUCCAUGGGAUUUUUAUAUACACUUAAUUAUUUCCUUAAGAUAAAUUCCUAGAAGUGGUAUUAGUGAGUCCAAAAGUUGGCACAUUUAUAAACCUUUGAUAUCCAUAGCCACUUCCCCUUCUUAAGGAGUUGUCGCAGUUUACAUUUCUACCAGCAAGGCCUUUAUAUGUUGUUGACUGAUCCUAGGUAUCAGUCUCAUAGAGUUUAGCUUCAUUUACAUAGCUGGCUCUUAUAUAAAUACUGGAAUUUGAGCUGAAAUCUAGCAAGUUAAGGCUGAUUUAAUGUUCAGAAUUGAGGAUCAGCUAUGGUAUUUAGCACCUGUUAUUUAAUGGAGAUUUUCUUGAUGAAUCUUUAUAAUGUAUAGCUUUUUAUCUCAGCUCCUACCAUAUCUUAGCCAAUCUCAGAAUGAGAAUGAGGACACAGACAUAUUAUUGAUCUACUUGACUAGCGCCUCAGCCAACCUUAACGUUGGAGAGAUAUAACAGUUGCUUUCUUCAAAGCAAGACAUUCUGAGUUUGAGCUCUAGAUUUAGGCCUAAAUUCCUAACACCUUUUCUUCCAUAAUGUGCAAUCAAAAUUUUUCUCCUAGUUCUUUGUGAUGAUGGGAUAGUUCUGUACCUUGAUAGAAGUGAUGGUUAUACAGAUUGGUAUGUGAUAAAGUGGCUUAGAACCAUACACACACACACACAAUUUUAUCAGUGUCAGUUUACUGGUUUUCAUAUGUUACCAUAAUUGUGUAAAACAUAACCAUUGGGAGAAAUUGGUGAAGGGUGCAGGGGACCUCUACUAUCUUUGCAGUUUCCCAUGAGUCUAUAAGAAUUUCACAAUAGAAACUUUAGGAAAAAAAUCUUUCUCUAAGAGUUAGCAGAGGAACAUUUUUUAAUUUAUUUUGCAUAGAUAAUGCCUUUACAUGGUUCCAAAAGUCUUGUUCUCUCCCUGCCACACCAUUUCUAUUGCUUCUAUUAUUUUCUUCUAUACCUUUCUAGUAUGUAAUACUAGCAAAUAUGGCUGUAUAGUCUUUCUUUUUCCAACUUCCCCGAACAAAGUGUAUAUGUUAGUC